RNAcentral lists this unclassified non-coding RNA (125 nucleotides) under uncultured Archaeorhizomyces. RNAcentral describes it as "sequence contains ITS1". Lineage: Eukaryota; Fungi; Ascomycota; Archaeorhizomycetes; Archaeorhizomycetales; Archaeorhizomycetaceae. The record is from RNAcentral.
CUGAAUGGCCUCUGGGCCUUCAACCUUGUAAACCUGUGGAAGCAAGAUGUGCUUCGGCGCUUUGACGUCGCUUUUAUGCUUUAAGCCAAUCUUUUGUGUCUGAAUCGAAAUACAAGAAAGAAAUA